AAUGUACAACAUAAAUAGUCCAUGGGUUCAUUAUAAAAACGUGUUCAUGAUAUACUUUUUCAGUGUCCUUUGUGUUCUUUUAUGAAAUGUUUAUUCCUAUUCUAUCAAGUAGGUGCUAAUGCAUAAUACUCGCACUAUACACAGACCAUCUUGAUAAAUAAUCAUGUGUAUGCUCCAGUGGUUCUGUGCAUAAAUGCUCCUAUAUCUAAGUUACUACAGCCCUAGGCCCUGAAUGGAUCAAAUUUGUAAAUACAGCACUAUAUUUCUUACCUCUGUUGAAGUGUAUUAUGGUAGCAGUACUGGCAUUUAUCUAGACUGUUGAUAUAGAGGUUUCUAGCCACACAAGCAAUGCAUAUUACAUUAAGAAAUUCUAUAAUAAACUGCUUGAAAUAUUACCAGAGAUAGAGGAUUUUGCAAAACCUCAAGUGAGCCCUGAGGCCAACAAGAUUCCUGCUGAGUACAUACUGCUUUGGAUCAGGUCCUUGGAGACUACUACAUCUAAAAUAACAAGUUUAAAAAUAACAAGUUUAAAGAAUUUAAUUGCGAUUUCUUCAAUGUCAUUAUAUUGGUCUGAAAACUGGGUGCUUUACUUCAAUGAAAGUUCUCCUAGCAGUACAGAGAAGCUUUUUGUUAAGGUUUAACUACUUCCAAGAAUUUGGAAAGAUUUAUACAAAAUGAGGAAUAGCUUUCAGUUGUACAAAUGUACUUAAUAUAAUUAUGAGCAUGCAAAUAGGAUACAAAGGCUUUCAUACUUCAGCCUGGUAGGAGUGGCUUGAGUUUCUUCUGUAGGAAACUUGACUGAGAGAUCUUUGCUUCCAAAAUCUGCUUGGAGCUUCACUUUUAGCUAGGGCUUUAGCUCAGGUCCAGGGAUGAGACCAGUGAUGCUGCAUCUGAGCUGAAAGUGCUCUGAAGUGGUCAGUAUGCUCCGGCUCAAAUAUCGGAAGUAUUGCAGUAUCUUGAGACUGUGUUAAGGAAAAGGGAUGUAAGAUAUAAAGGAUAAGGGGAAAUUCUUCUCCUCCUAUUGGACAAGCACCCAAGUUACCAGACUUUAUGCCUAACUUUGCUGUGAUUUCUCAUGUGACCUUUUACAGGCUACACAGAGUCUGACCAAUGCCCAAGGAUAUCACAGAAUGAUUCCCACUGGCUUCAACGGUUCACACAAGAUCGGAAGAGAUACCGGUUAAUGAACAACUGCCACUCACUGUCAGCAGUGUGCUACAAAUGAAAGGCAUUUUCAGAAGCCAGAGGAAGGAGAUAAUAUUAUGGGGACAAGGAGCCAUCUACGGUCAGAGAAAACACUGGGAGGAAACCGCAGUCUUCCCUGAUCAAGGCCCUUUUCAGAACUUGAGCACACCCAUCUCUGCAUGGCACUCACUUGCACUACAGGUCCAAGAUUAUAAAGUGUUUUUACAAGGAUUCUUCAUAUAUGCAGUGUGAAUACCCCUGGGACACGUGGAGAUCUGGAAUACUGUGGAGUAGACUGCGCAACCGUUCAGCGUGGUAAACUGAAAACUUCUCUUGCAUUUGGCAGCCCACAACCCAUCCUUGCAUUUAGGUACUGGUCCUUAUUUCUCCCCUCUGAGCAGGUGUGAAACCUCCAAGGGAGAACAAGAACUGGAAACCAAGGCCAGGCAGAGCUCCACCAAGAUGGUACUGGCUGGUGGGAGCAGCUGCUGCACGAGGUGCGACUGCAGUCUGUGCAAGCAGCGCUACAGCUUCAUGCACCCAGAUCGCAUACACACACGAGACCUCUGAAAGACUUGGUGUCUGCAGUCCCGGCUGCCUCCGUACAACUGGAAGAGCGGUCUUGAACAAGAACGUAGACCUAAACGGUGGACCUAAAGAGGUGGACCUACCUCCUAGGGCUAGAAAAUUCACACUGACUAGUCUAGUCCGGGGGCUUUGAACCUACAAAGGAGUCACAGUUCAAAGCUUGAUUUGUGUCCAGAUGGACUUCUAAGAGGAUAAACUUGGUUUUUGCAAUUUGGGUCCCUGUUCCCAAGAAUGCUAAAGUGUUGUCUUCUACCCAGACACAGCCCUUUAUUGUCAGGUUGGAUGUGACAAGUUGCGAAGUUAAGGCCCAAUAAGUAAUUAAGGCAGUUUGCCAAGCAAAAUGAAGAAAAAAAUACAUAUUCACUGCUUUUCAUAGAGCUUUGAUUUAACUGGUUAAGAAUGUUCCUCUGUUUUAUAUAGUGUUGAGCAAAUCAUUCAUAAUAAUUGAUAUAUUAAACUCAUUUAAACAUUUUUGCUCUUUGUGAACUGUACAUGGUAGAUAUAAAAGUAUAUCUUUCAAAAAAGGUAUUGGUGCUUGAAAGCAGAUUACCAGAUAUUGUGUCUGCAUCUUAUAGAUACAUAUAAGCAACUAAUACUGUAAACUGAGAAAGUCUAAUAUUACCUUUGCAUAUAGUACUUGAAAAGCAUUUGAAAAGUAACUUUAAAGAAAAUAUUUAUAGUUAAAAUUAGUGUGUUAGCAAUAUUUUGUGCAACUGAAGCUUCAAGUGCUUGAAGAAAGUCAUUGUGAAGGACUCAAGCUCAAAUAAAAAAUCAUUAUUUCUUAAUAGUCCAGUAAAAUUAUUACUAUCACUAGGUCUGUUUUAAUUAACAGAUUCGUAGCUUUUUAGGAUAGACAAGA
Long non-coding RNA from Dromaius novaehollandiae (emu), 2632 nucleotides. RefSeq lists it as uncharacterized. The record is from RefSeq and is a predicted model, not a curated record. Lineage: Eukaryota; Metazoa; Chordata; Aves; Casuariiformes; Dromaiidae. The transcript has 3 exons.